GUAACGCGUAUCCAACCUACCCAAUACUCAGGCAUAACCCGUUGAAAGACGGACUAAUUCCUGAUGGUAUGUAUUUUUCUCAUGAAUUAUACAUUAAAGAAUUUCGGUAUUGGAUGGGGAUGCGUCUGAUUAGUUUGUUGGUGAGGUAACGGCUCACCAAGACUUCGAUCAGUAGGGGUUCUGAGAGGAAGGUCCCCCACAUUGGAACUGAGACACGGUCCAAACUCCUACGGGAGGCAGCAGUGAGGAAUAUUGGUCAAUGGAUGGAAAUCUGAACCAGCCAAGUAGCGUGCAGGAUGACGGCCCUAUGGGUUGUAAACUGCUUUUAUGUGAGAAUAAAGUUAGGUAUGUAUACUUAUUUGCAUGUAUCACAUGAAUAAGGACCGGCUAAUUCCGUGCCAGCAGCCGCGGUAAUACGGAAGGUCCAGGCGUUAUCCGGAUUUAUUGGGUUUAAAGGGUGCGUAGGCCGUUUGAUAAGCGUGCUGUGAAAUAUAGUGGCUCAACCUCUAUCGUGCAGCGCGAACUGUCGAACUUGAGUGCGUAGUAGGUAGGCGGAAUUCGUGGUGUAGCGGUGAAAUGCUUAGAUAUCACGAAGAACUCCGAUUGCGAAGGCAGCUUACCGUAACGUUACUGACGCUUAAGCACGAAGGUGCGGGUAUCGAACAGGAUUAGAUACCCUGGUAGUCCGCACAGUAAACGAUGGAUGCUC
RNAcentral lists this ribosomal RNA (709 nucleotides) under uncultured Prevotellaceae bacterium. RNAcentral describes it as "bacterial SSU rRNA". It matches the Rfam family "Bacterial small subunit ribosomal RNA", at positions 110 to 818 of the family's 1533-position model. The record is from RNAcentral. Lineage: Bacteria; Pseudomonadati; Bacteroidota; Bacteroidia; Bacteroidales; Prevotellaceae.